UGUGUAGGCGGAAUAUUAAGUCAGUGGUGAAAUCCUGCGGCUCAACCGUAGAACUGCCAUUGAUACUGAUAUUCUUGAAUGUAGUUGAGGUAGGCGGAAUGUGUAAUGUAGCGGUGAAAUGCUUAGAUAUUACACAGAACACCGAUUGCGAAGGCAGCUUACUAAACUAUGAUUGACGCUGAGGCACGAAAGCGUGGGGAGCGAACAGGAUUAGAUACCCUGGUAGUCC
Molecule: ribosomal RNA, 229 nt
Filed under: uncultured bacterium
Lineage: Bacteria
Description: partial 16S ribosomal RNA
Rfam family: Bacterial small subunit ribosomal RNA
Source: RNAcentral